Molecule: ribosomal RNA, 482 nt
Filed under: uncultured bacterium
Lineage: Bacteria
Description: partial 16S ribosomal RNA
Rfam family: Bacterial small subunit ribosomal RNA
Source: RNAcentral
GACGAACGCUGGCGGCGUGCUUAACACAUGCAAGUCGAACGAUGAAGAAGAGCUUGCUCUUCGGAUUAGUGGCGAACGGGUGAGUAACACGUGACUAACCUGCCCCUUUCUCUGGGAUAACGCUCCGAAAGGAGUGCUAAUACCGGAUACUCACAUCGAGGCACAUGCCUUGAUGUGGAAAGUUUUUCGGAAAGGGAUGAAGUCGCGGCCUAUCAGCUUGUUGGUGAGGUAACGGCUCACCAAGGCGACGACGGGUAGCCGGCCUGAGAGGGCGACCGGCCACACUGGGACUGAGACACGGCCCAGACUCCUACGGGAGGCAGCAGUGGGGAAUAUUGCACAAUGGGCGAAAGCCUGAUGCAGCGACGCCGCGUGAGGGAUGAAGGUCUUCGGAUUGUAAACCUCUUUCAGUAGGGACGAAGCGAAAGUGACGGUACCUAAAGAAGAAGCACCGGCUAACUACGUGCCAGCAGCCGCAGUAA